CAAUAGCGUAUAUUGAAGUUGUUGCAGUUAAAAAGCUCGUAGUUGGAUUUCGGGUGGGACGCAGCGGUCUCGCAUUGCGUUUGUACUGCUGCAGCCCUCCUUCUUGCCGGGGGCGGCCUCUCGGACUUCACUGUCUGGGGGUCAGAAUCGGCGAUGUUACUUUGAGUAAAUUAGAGUGUUCAAAGCAAGCUUACGCUCUGAAUAUAAUAGCAUGGGAUAACACGACAGGACUCUGGCCUAUCGUGUUGGUCUAUAGGACCAGAGUAAUGAUUAAGAGGGACAGUCGGGGGCAUUCGUAUUCCGUUGUCAGAGGUGAAAUUCUUGGAUUUACGGAAGACGAACAUCUGCGAAAGCAUUUGCCAAGGAUGUUUUCAUUGA
This 378-nucleotide ribosomal RNA is filed under the name uncultured eukaryote. RNAcentral describes it as "partial 18S ribosomal RNA". It matches the Rfam family "Eukaryotic small subunit ribosomal RNA", at positions 592 to 976 of the family's 1831-position model. The record is from RNAcentral.